AUUAUUACAUAUCACCUUCGCCGAUCUAUGCUGGCGACUGAAUACACAGAUUCAACGCAUUUACUACAAACACUUAUCUACGCAAAUUAUUCAUGGCGCAAUGUGGAAAAAAUUACGGGAAAGAUCAACAACAUCAGCAAGACAAUCCCUUUGAAUAUCGCAAUGACAAAGGUGAAGUAUAUGUUAUAGAUGUAGCUGAAGACAGCACAGGUGAUGAUGAUAAUGGUUGUAGUGAUAGUGGUAUUGAUUCAGACAAAGCACGCACCAUUCAAAUAGAUGUUCCUAUACCUCCCAGUCAUUCUGUGGGUUCUGAUAAAAGUGGAUUUGCCUUUACCAAUGGCGAUGACCUCUACGUAUAUACCAGUUAUCGUGCUAUUUUAAAACAGGAUAAAAUUAUUUUAAAUUUUCUUUAUGAUGACGGAUCUAAUGAAAAUGUAACUGACUAUGAACUUAUUGUAGAAAGUAAAUUGUAUAAUUUUAUGAUAUUCUAUAUUCCUGAUAUGUAUAUAGAUUCCGCGAAAGAAGGUCCUACUAUUGUUGGUAUUGAUACAGGGGGGUUUUAUCGACAUAGAGCUGGUGUUGUUUACACCAAAUCGAAUGUCAUACCCUGCUUUGACCCAGUGGAUGGCGAUGAUAUUAGAAUUAUCUUCCCUGAAGGUUUGAAAAGUUUAGGCAAGGCGUGUGUUGGACUUGAUUGUAGUCAUAAAAUUAUUGAGAUAAAAACAGAAAAUCUAAUAACAUUAAUACCACUCUGUGACUGGAAAAAGACAACUUAUCCCUCAGUAACAAAAGCAGAAAAUUUUGAAACAUCGACACCAAUCUAUACCCCAUUAACAAAAGCAAAGACCAUCCAUAUUUCCAAUGCAGGAAAUGAAUUCUUGGAAAGACCAGACUAUCGCGAAAAGAUGAGUUAUGGAAGAGUUAAAUCGGCCUUUUGAUGUUAUAAAAAUCAUUAAUUAGACAUUUAUUCACAUCCCAAGGCCAUGAUCAACGGAUUUUUAAAUCGGCCUUCUGAUGUUAUAAAAAUCAUUAAUUAGACAUUUAUUCACAUCCCAAGGCCAUGAUCAACGGAUUUUAACACGAUUGGCAGUUAAUAAUUUGAUAAAAAAAAUUGACAUUGUUUAUUGUCGUAGCAAUGACAAUCGAGAAUACACUGUUUCUCAAACAGAUCAAACUAAGCGCAGAAUGAAUUAAUUUGACGGACAUAUUCAACAUACUCCCUUUUCAUUAUCAAUUAUUUAACUAUUAUAGCGAGAACUGUACGCUUGUUAUCUAGAUCUUACAUAAUGCAUCUUUAAUUUAAUUGACCAAUGUCAGAACUGAUAUCUCUCUAAUGUUCAUGUAUUUUAACUGUUUGAGUUUAAUCUUAUGUAACCACAAAAUAAAUGACGUAAUUAUA
Patella vulgata (common limpet) is the source of this 1399-nucleotide long non-coding RNA. RefSeq lists it as uncharacterized. The record is from RefSeq and is a predicted model, not a curated record. NCBI's taxonomy places the organism in Eukaryota, Metazoa, Mollusca, Gastropoda, Patellidae. The transcript is spliced from 3 exons.